CUCAAAUAAUGUGUGGG
Molecule: ribosomal RNA, 17 nt
Filed under: Anopheles plumbeus
Lineage: Eukaryota; Metazoa; Arthropoda; Insecta; Diptera; Culicidae
Description: 28S ribosomal RNA
Source: RNAcentral